Long non-coding RNA from Polistes canadensis, 704 nucleotides. RefSeq lists it as uncharacterized. The transcript is spliced from 3 exons. Lineage: Eukaryota; Metazoa; Arthropoda; Insecta; Hymenoptera; Vespidae. The record is from RefSeq and is a predicted model, not a curated record.
CGAGAUAUUUUAAGUGGAUUCGUUAUUGUACGAUAUUAUUCAUCACGCGUGCAAUAUCGUCUUCGUUCUGUUUCCAUUAGUCGAACUGUGACAACGAUGCAGCACCAACAACUGAAUAUUUUAAACAACGAUGUUCAAAUUUUUGCAAUUCUGACAAAAGGAGAUGAUAAAGCAGGUUGAACAGAAAUUAAUUAAGUAAAAGUAAAGAAGGUUUUUUUUCGAGUUGGUAACACUGCAAGAAUGGAUAUCCUCGUCAACCCUCUCACGCUAUCUUAUCUCGUCACGCUUGCACCUAACUUGAUGCAAAUCUCUCUGAGGAUCAUGCGACGCCGGUGCGAGGAACGUUUUACCGAGCUUGGAAAAGGCUUGACACCCUCUUCCACCCCUAUUCCCAACUCCCCACUCCUCCCCCCCACCACUUGCAGCGUGAGGAUUUUAAAUCGACGCUUCCAACUAUAUCGAAUCUACUAUUUGCUAUCUCCCUACUGCAUCUUCUACGACUAUCAAACGGAGAAUUGAUGGAUGAAUACGCGUUUGGAUAAAUGUCCUUGCAAAUAUCGCACCCUUUCUAAGUUAUUUUUUUCCCUUCAUUUUUUAUCCUUCUCCUUCAUACUCGUUGAUGUAUCGACGAGGGAGGUCACUAUCGAUUACAAUUAUUCGAGAAUAGGGAACAUUUUUUGAGAUAUUCCUGAUAAUGAUCUAGU